AUUUUCACUUUCAGGCCCUCCUGUCCCAACUUAAUGUAAUAAUAAAAAUAGGUACUUUUUAGUCUAUUUAAAUGGCAUUUUAAAUAUUUAUAUUGCUUUUUUAAAGAAAAAGAAACUAAAUGUUGGUCAAAACUAUUAUAAUGAUGAGAUCUUAAUCUAGGAAACUGCCAUGUGUUGCAAUUCACUUUGUGCUUUGACACUACUUUCACUGUGAAACUAUUUUCACUGCCAAAAGCAAAAUAUCAUUAAAUACUUAUACUUUUAUUCUGUUCUUUUUUUUUUUUUUAACUACAUUUUGCAUUCAAUUUAGAUUCAUGCUACAUUGGCAUUUCAAAGUGAAAGAUGUCCAGAGACCAGUUUUAAUACUACAGCUAUAAUUUACUCUGAAUGGUGUUAUAGCCUCUACAUGCCAGCAGACUGGUUUCCAGAAAACACUUCAGGGCUUUAUGUGCCUACUGUAUGGAUGGAUGGCAAGCUUUGUGUCCACGCAAGAGUUACCUACACCUAUGAGACUCUACACACAGCAGAAGAUGUGCAUCCUGCUUGGGAGACCGCUUACAACCACAAGUCUUGCUGUUUGGCAUGAGAAGACAGGGAAACUUAACUGCUAUGGAAACAAGAGCAGAUUCAUGAAAGGAGAAUUCAGUGGCUUCUACAGUCUGCAUGACAUUUUACAGACGUAAAGGGAAAGGAAGUUAAAAACCACUGAAAGCUGAUAUUAAGAAGCACCGACCAUCUGGAAAGAAACUUCAUUGUCAUGAUUUCCAGAGCAGAGUUGCAGAAGUACUUAGAUAACCUUCAGAAAAAAAGUGAUCCUGCAUGAUGUUGUGAAACACAUUUCCAAUUUCUAAGGUUUGUCACCAGUAUUUGGCAAGCUGUGUUAUUUGUGGACGAGUUAUUACAUUAUUUACUUCUCUGCACCACAGCUGCCUCCAUCCCUGUACAAUGAUUUAAAACUAAAUAAUGCUGUCAUGUGUGUUAUAACAAAGAUAGAUUUGCAGAGAAAAUAAUGCCAGCUGUAUGGAAAGUCUUAAAUACUCGUGUUCAUGGUCAUCAUGAGUGAUUGGAUUUGGUUUUCUGCUCUUCUUUUUCUGCUCAAUUCUGAAAGAGUAGUAAUACACAUUCUGCUUUCAAUUAACAUUUACUAAAAUCAGAACAAAAUAUCUUCCAGAAGGUUUCAUAAGGAAAAGAAAAAAUAUGAACUAUUUAUGGAAUCAAGAUGAAGUAUCAACAAGUUUCAUUUUCACUUGUGUGGGCAAUGUAAGUAAGUAGAUAUGUCAUACUGUGAGCAGAGGAACAUAAUACAAUUUGCUUACAGUGUAAGAGAAAAUGAGCAAUCCAGCAUAACAGAUGAAAUUUAUGGUAAGUGGGGAUGUGUUGGACACUUCAGUAAGGGCUCAACUCAAGUGCAUAAACAUAGGCACCUAAUAUUGUCUGUAUUACAUUGGAGCAUCACAGGCAUGUUCAGUUUUAGUUAAGUGGCUUUUAGCCAUCUAGAGUAAG
RNAcentral lists this long non-coding RNA (1503 nucleotides) under Meleagris gallopavo (turkey). RNAcentral's name for it is "lncRNA (ENSMGAG00000020997.1)". The record is from RNAcentral. Lineage: Eukaryota; Metazoa; Chordata; Aves; Galliformes; Phasianidae.